ACCUGCUCCACCCCCUCCACCUAACAUACAUAGUACAGUCCAGACAGUUUAUAAAGCAACCUGCUCCACCCCCUCCACCUAACAUACAUAGUACAGUCCAGACAGGUUAUAAUGCUACACCCCACUUCCACUCCUCCUAACAUUGAUAGUACAGUCCAAACAGUUUAUAGAGCUACAUCCCACCUCCCCCCACUUAACAUACAUAGUACAGUCCAGGCAGUUCACAGAGGUACAUUCAACCUCCCCCUCCCAACAUACAUAGUAUAGUCCAGACAGUUUAUAGAGCUACAUUGUAGCAACAGAAAUAACAAUGUUAUGUCCAUAUAUUUAUUUGGGUGCAUAUCUAGGAUAGUGGCCCUGGUUGGAUGGAAUGGUGUGCUGGUGUUGGGUGGGAUGGUGUGCUGGUGGUGGGAUAGUUCACUGGUGUUGUGUGGGAUGGUGUCCUGUUGCUGUGUGGAAUGGUGUCCUGGUGUUGGGUGGGAUGGUGUCCUGGUGUUGGGUGGGUUGGUGUCUUGGUGUUGGGUGGGUGGGAUGGGGUCCUGGUGUUGGGUGGGAUGGGGUCCUGGUGUUGGGUGGGUUGGUGUCCUGGUGUUGGGUGGGUUGGUGUCCUGGUGUUGGGUGGGAUGGUGUCCUGGUGUUGGGUGGGUUGGUGUCCUGGUGUUGGGUGGGUGGGAUGGGGUCCUGGUGUUGGGUGGGUUGGUGUCCUGGUGUUGGGUGGGUGGGAUGGUGUCCUGGUGUUGGGUGGUAUGGUGUCCUGGUGUUGGGUGGUUGGGAUGGUGACCUGGUUUUGGGAGGGUGGUAUGGUGUCCUGGUGUUGGGUGGGUGGGAUAGGGUCCUGGUGUUGGGUGGGAUGGGGUCCUGGUGUUGGGUGGGAUGGUGUCCUGGUGUUGGAUGGUUGGGAUGGUGACCUGGUGUUACCCAGGUCCUAGGUCCUAGGGGGAAUACAUAGGUAUGCUGACUGGUGCGUUAGUCUCUCAGCAUCACAGAGUUAGACACAUUGUAAGGAAUAAUCAACCACAAACACCACCAGGUUCUCAUCCCACCUCUCGACUCUCUUCAAACCCUCCUCUUCUUUUCUUUUGUCUCUCUACUUCUCCUUCUCCAUCCUAUCUCUCUCUUUCUCUCUCUUGGCCAAGAUAGCCCCAACUAGCCCCUCCGUAGCGUCCUACAGCACUGGGAUUUGUUCCCUCCCUCUGCAAGCUACGGGUCAAUAUUACACAGAGGGAAUAUCUCCAUGCGGGCAGCCUGGUCGUAAAGCCGCCUGGUAAUCCUAAUUCAGUCCAAAGAGGAUUAGCUCCACCCCAGCAGAGCCAUUGGCUAAAAUUAGAGCAACACAGUCCCCCCUCUCCCAGUACCCUCCCUCCCGAAAAGGCCCCUCCCCCUCUUUUGCUUAGCCCCACCUUUACAUUCCCCAACCAGCCAAUCACGCGUCUUUAUGGGCUCUGAUGCCAGCAUGACAGACUGGUGCCUGUGUACUGAGUCAAAAAUAAUCUACGAUAAAAUCAUAGAACAAUCUCUGAUCUAAACUGAUGUAAAUAGCGUGUUUGGGUUCAACAUUACAGUCAUAGAAUCUGCUCCCAGUCCUCAGUGAGGGUGUGUGAGGGUGCUGUGUAACAUUCUGUGGGUCUUUGAGGGCUGUGUAUUGCUGUUGCCACUCCACGUCCUCGCCGAAUCUCUGCCCUUCAUCCUCUGGCCACUGUGCUGGGAUUACCGUCCGCGGGCACGCCCAGGGCUCGGGCAUGUGUCUGUCAAUGCAAGGUAUUCUGGCCCAUCUCAUGCAACCAUCCAUCCUAAAAAAAAAAAACUCACAGCUUUUUAGGGGAGAAUAGGAAGCGUUGGAGUGAGAGGACGAUAAUGCAGGAUAAUACAGGGUGAUAACGCAGGGCGAUAAUGCGGGAGGUAAAUACAAAGUGGCGAUGUUGGGUGGUAAUGCAUGAUGUUAUAACAUGAUGAUGAUGCACGGCAGUAAUUGAGGAUGGUAAUGAUGGGCAGUAAUGCAUAGGGGAUGUCUUGAUGGUAAUGCAAAAUGGUAUUGCAUGCUGGUAAUGCAGGAUGAUAAGAGGUUUGUGGGAAAGUGGUAGCAGAGGUGCUGAGUGACAAACCCAACCAAGAGAGGCAGACAUGGGGGAGAUACUUCCCCUGCGGCUAACACCAACUCUAAUACAACUGCAGUUGUGGUUUAUUACGUUGGCACACAUUUCUAAUUAAAUAAAAAGUAAUUCAGUUAGAAACUAUUGGGCUGUUAUUACAUUUAUUGUUAUUCAAAAUGUGAUUUAUCAUCACUGGAUCAUUAUACCAUGAUGCCAGUAGAGUAAAUAAACGAUGUGUUUUAAUGAAGUGGGAUGAAUGGAGGAAGGGAGGAAUAGAUGGGUGGUCUUGUGGGUGGAUACCUGAAAUAAGACGUGUCUAAUGUCCUGGUUUUGACAUGAGCUUGUCUUAUGGUUAUAAGAUCGGAUCCCAUUCAGGUUGUAAUAUGCUUUUAACAAGGGUCUGAAUACCUGGGCACAGUCAGAAUGUGGACAAGAUGAGGACCAAGGCCUCAUGUUGAAGCCAAGCAUUAACUGGGCCAGAGAGAGGUAGGAGGAGGUCAGAGCUGCUUUGUUCUUAACUCCAAUCUGCUGUUGGAAAUCUCUACAACAGAUUGGAGGCGCAGCAAGGCUUAGCUAACGUCACCUGACAGUCACCUGACUGACUCGUACAAUACUAAAACAGCAUCCUGGUUCAGGUGACAGCCGGUGAUUCUCAAGCCGGUGAUUCCCAUUGUUAGGGUGAGGCCCCUCAACCUAACAAUGAAGAUGAGGCCCCUCCCCCCAUCAAUGAAGAUAAGGGCCCUCCCCCUACGAAUGAAAAUGAGGCCCCUCCUCCAGCCAAUGAAGACGGCACCCCCCGCCCCUACCAGCUGACAUCAGAGGGCCAUCCAUUAUUGUCGUUUUACAAUAAUUAAAUCUCAGUAACAAUUAAACAAUACAUUUGGGAGGUUUUUCAUAUUUUGCAAGUGUCAAGCCUCAAAAUCAAACUUAACAAAUGCACAUACAGCUCCGGAAAAAAUUAAGAGACCACCACACAUUUUUCUUUCCUUUCCAAAAAAGUAGAGAAGGAAGGUUUUGAAUGAGGAACAGAAGGAUUAAAAUUAAGAGACCACUGCAAAUUGAACGCUUCUGUUCCUAACUCAAAACUUUCAUUGGAAAGGAAAGAAAAAGGUGCAGUGAUCUCUUAAUUUUUUCUGGAGCUGUAUAAUUUGACACACCUAUGCAUUCUUUUACUUCUAAAUUUGCCAACUUAAAACAUAACACAGACCCUUAUGGGAUUUCCCUAUGCCCGUGGAGAUCGCAGGUCUAGCCAGCUGCUACACCAUCCUCAAUUUGUAUUCUCUCAGCUUAAAGACACUUGUUCAGAGGGAAUACGGCUGAAGGCCAAGGAAAAGAGGUCAAUGAGAUUUUACCAGAGAACAUCUCAGACAUGAGCACCCUCUCCUGGCCACCCACCAACACUGCACCUCAACUGCACUUCACCCAACUACACUGUUAGAGAACACAUCACCCAACUACACUGUUAGGGAACAUGUCACCCCGACUACACUGUUAGAGAACACAUCACCCAACUACACUGUUAGAGAACACAUCACCCAACUACACUGUUAGAGAACACAUCACCCAACUACACUGUUAGAGAACACAUCACCCAACUACACUGUUAGAGAACAUAUCACCCAACUACACUGUUAGAGAACACAUCACCCAACUACACUGUUAGAGAACACAUCACCCAACUACACUGUUAGAGAACA
Long non-coding RNA from Esox lucius (northern pike), 3787 nucleotides. The record is from Ensembl. NCBI's taxonomy places the organism in Eukaryota, Metazoa, Chordata, Actinopteri, Esociformes, Esocidae.